Betta splendens (Siamese fighting fish) is the source of this 1650-nucleotide long non-coding RNA. NCBI's taxonomy places the organism in Eukaryota, Metazoa, Chordata, Actinopteri, Anabantiformes, Osphronemidae. The record is from Ensembl.
CUCCAGACCCCGUGGUCCCUCUUUCUCUCUCCUCCGCUAACAGACAAGUUCAGCGAGGGGAGCCCUGUUGCCAGGCAACAGCCCAGAGUGUAUGAUUAAAACUUUGAUUUCCAAUCUAUCACCUGAGAGACUGAUGCUGCGCCUUCCCUGUGAUGCUCUGCAGAGCAGCUGGGGUGGAGCGCGACGCUGCACGCUCGCCAAAUGAAUCUGCAGUGUGAAAUGAAACAUUUGGUUCACACGGAGUCGCGCCACCUCAUCUUCAACCAGCUUGACACUUUGAGGAUGUCAUUUUGUGCUGAGCGCCGAAGUUGAAGCCGAGUCACCCAGUUCAUUUGGGGAUUUGGGGAGGAUGCUUUUUUUUUUUUUAACCUACUGCUGCACAUUUGUUCCUUCGCACAGUUUAGUCUACAGUAACUACACUGAAACACUAGUUGCUGUAGAGUAUGAGGCAGAUAAAAUGAUCCAAAGCCCCAUUUGUGUUUGAAUGACAAAGGCCACACUUACAGUCACAUUUCACCCAAGUUUCAUCAUUUGAUGGAUUCUAAUCUGUCAGAUCGUGUUCUGGGCGACAAAAGAGGAAUGGAGGAGGUGUGUGUGUGUGUGUGUGUGUGUGUGUGUGUGUGUGUGUGUGUGUGUGUGUGUGUGUGUGUGUUCCCAGGUGAUGAGCGGUGUCAAGACACCUUAACAGUUUGGCCCCAGGCAGUACAGUGAUACAUGAAUGACAUAUUUAUUCCAGGCAAGGGAUGUCUGUAUAAAAAGUAUAUAUGUGUGUGUGUGUGUGUGUGUGUGUGUGUGUGUGUGUGUGUGUGUGUGCGUGUGCGUGCAGAGCUCCAUCUAAAUGCGGCCCUCCGGCAUCCAUGCCAUCCCAAUAGGUAGAAAAUCUAAUCUACAGGCCAAAGAUGAUAAGAUGGCGGCACAGAGCGGCAGGGAGAGAUGAAAACGGAGUCUGAUUCCACCAGGCUGCACGAUUAUGAUGCCAGAAAACAGGCUAAGCGGAUGAACCUGCUCUCACACAGGACGUCUGAUCUCUCUGUGAACCACUUGGACAGUGAUGCAGGCAACCCGAGGGAAAGACUGCAGCUGCGAGAUGGAGAAGCUGGAGAUGCUCCAGGAUCAGCAGAGAGGAAGCGUCAUAGCAUCACUUCAAUCCUGAACGAUUCUAUUCACAGUCGAUAUGAACAGGAGGAGUGAUUACACAAACAAGAACCUGCGUCAUAGCUCACAUACGUGUUUAACUGUAGUUAUGGAACAGACUUAUUCUGUAAGUGGCCACAUGCACUGUGUCACAAACGGUAACAGCUAAUAAGUUAUACCCAAGAGCAGAGAUGUCAAGUUGCUUGUCUAAGAAUUAGUAAGUACAGAAUGAAAAAUUACAGCAAGGCUGGAAAUACAAAAAUACUAAAUUUGGGAAAACUACAGCAGGAAGUAACAAUUGAAUUACAAAUGAUCCAAAGUCUGAACUAACAAAGUCAGUUCAAAAGCAAGAGAAGAGAAAAAAUUAAUAAGUUGGAAAACAGUAGAAAAAAAACAACGACCACAAAAAAAAACACUUGCAACUAGCAACAAGAUGCAAAUCAAUGAAAUGAGACACACCUAAAGAAAAAAGAACCACAAACAUCAACGCACAAUAAAGCCACAGCGCCGCCAACA